GCUCCCGUAGUGUAAUGGAAUCUGAAAAGAUUUAAGCAUAUGCGCCUUCUAAGCGUUUGGAGUGGGUUCGAAUCCCAUCGGGGGUA
Tritrichomonas musculus is the source of this 86-nucleotide non-coding RNA. Lineage: Eukaryota; Parabasalia; Tritrichomonadida; Tritrichomonadidae. The record is from the annotation of a GenBank genome assembly.